Molecule: long non-coding RNA, 1204 nt
Organism: Armigeres subalbatus
Lineage: Eukaryota; Metazoa; Arthropoda; Insecta; Diptera; Culicidae
Exons: 3
Source: RefSeq, a predicted model, not a curated record
AAACAUUGUCAAAUUAUCAGAUUGGACCUUCGGUUGUCCAUUUGUUUAAAUAAUUAAUUUAAAUUUAUUUAAAACAAUGUCUAAGAUAUCCGACACGAAAAGACACGCUGCUAUUAAGCACUAGUUGUCCGUCGUCCCGGAAUGCUAAGAAACGAUCGGACCCCGCCAACGUGAAGCCUACGGAAGGGUGACAAACCCGGGGGACGGGGUCGGUGACUCUUCGUCUCAACAGAAGGGAAUGAUAUCUGCGGGGAAACAUUUGACCUGUUCUGUUCAAAAAAAGAAGAUGCUAUCGCGGUGCGUCAAGAUGAAGGAUAGUUCGAAGAACGCAAUGAAAAUCCGGAUGAAGGGACGAAGGCACUGCGGGUGAUCAAUCCAGUGGCCCUGUUGGUCAAAAAGCUAGCCAACGAAUUGGAUUCCGGUUGAGGAAUCUGCUGAAGCUGCCGAAGGCGCACAAAUUUGUCGGCUUCGAAUGGUUUUACAGCAAUAUCGACCAAGCGCUGUUCGAGGGUUUGGAUGACUUCCAGUUGUACCUGAGGGAAAUACACCAGGAUUUGAAAACAAUACAUUUGAUAAGCGCUGAGUGGAUCCGAUUUCGGAGGACUAUGGGAAAACCGAGAUGUUGUUUGGUAGUCUUUUAAGAGGAUGAAUGUCGUGAGUUGGAACGAAAGCGGCGUAAGAAUCGGCUACUGCUGACCAAGUGAUUGGGAGAUUUUUCCUUUGUCCAUAUCGGUUAUUCUUCUAUUGACCCGGUUUGGGUGCCCAUACGAUUCCAGACUUCGAGGUUGUAGCCAACGAUAAUCCUGAUUGCUCUGAAUAUGAUCACGCAGGACAUCCGACCUAAGUAUCAGAAUGCUUCAUUAUAUGUCGCUUCACUUGCCGUAAAAAUCCCAUCUUAUCUGAUUAGAUUACUCGAACAAGAAAGAUAUCCGUUGUCCCGAAACGCUACUGUUGGCGGGUAGAAAAGUCGGAAACCGGAAUGUUCAGCACCGACAUGUCUUCAUAAGUAUCCUAUCAGCAGUUAUCAUGAUUCAAUUUAUUGACGAUAUUCUUACUUUUAUGUUAUGUUAUAUGCAUGGUUCAGUGGCGUAGGUUUGAACUUGAAGAUAAAGCUUUCAGAAGAAAAAAUUUGUUCGAAGCCUUCUGAAUAAAACAAAAUGUUCAGAAAACCCUCCCCAGACCAAUUUUCUGGCUACGUCACUGG